CUUUAUUUUCUUUGUUUUUGUUCUUUGUUUUGUUUUGUUUUUGUUUUCUUUCUAAAAAAAUUGCAUUUUUGUUGAAAGUUUUAGGCUAUAGAAUAAUUUGAGGUCGAGUUUGCGAAGACUUGGGAAAAAUUCACAAGAUCGGUAUUGUUUUAACACCAUAAGUCUCCUGCAUAUAGAAAUUGAGUUGAAUUUUUAUUAUGACAUAGCCUUAAAUUCUCAUCAUCUGACUGCUCUUGAGUAGUUUAUUUCAGCAGUCAGCACCAUCUCACACACACUCUACACAGGGAAGCCGAUGAAUAUAAGUGAGUGUUCCGAAAAAAAAAAUGCACCUUCUAAGUUUGGUAACCCUCACCCGGUCACUUAACCCAACGGUGGUGGAACCUUCAAAAAAAGUUGGAAAUAAGACUCUUUUGUAGUUGGUUCAGCGGGUUCUGGUGCUGAACUUGGUAGGGCAGAUUACGGUCCGAUCCCUCGCAACUACAAUUGAGUAAGCAAAGGGUUAUGCCACUUAAGUACCAGAACUCCAUGCAGAAAAGCAUCAGAGUCACUAACCGAUCGCCUUGCUAUGAGUGUGUGGAGAUAACAGGCUUAAUGUGAUUGCGCCUGAAUGAAAAAGAGCCAAAGAAGGAUGAGUAAGUUAGGCUUUAAUAUAAUAACAUGAUUCGAGUUGAUUUGUGUAUUCAUGAGAUUUAUGUCUGCAUAACUGUGGAUUAGUGUUCUUACAAUGUCCUUAGUGUGCAAGGUUAGUACCUAUCAAAGCAAACUUAACCGAAGAUGACUUGUAGCCUAGAAUGAGUAAUCGUUGAUGUGUCUGUGUUUUGUUUUGUUUUUCAUUUUGCUCGGAGUGCAAAAGUUCAAGUGUGGAGGAAUUUGAUCAGUGCAUUUUGAUGCAUGUUCUUCCAUGUUUGUAUUUAAGAAUUUCUUCGGUUUGCUUUGAUUAUUUUUAUGUUUUAAUGUGUUUUCAUAAUUUAUUUUAUUUUUGCACUUAUUUAAUUUUCGUAUUUAAUUUUCAGCAUUAGCAGCUUUCGCGAGAAAAAUAAUAUCUUGAGCUAGGAGUAUCGGAUUGAAACGUGCUACCAGUCGAUGGAAAGCUAAGAAAAAGAUCUAUAACUUUUGUUCAGAAGUCGAGAUCUGAAUAUUACUGUAGCAGGGCCAGAAAUUUCGUUGAAGCUGCUGCAUUAUUUUUAUAUUUUGUUUGGGUUAGUUGUAUUGGGCCCGGAUCGUACAUUUGACCCGGUUGAGUUGUGAAACGGGUUUGGGUGUUUUUACCUAGGUUAGGCAGCCAAAAACAGGGUUACGUUUUACUAUUCACGAAAUACUUGAAAGCUUUGGCAAGAAUUCUCAUGAAGAACUCAUCGAUCCAAACAAUUUGCUGUAUUCGGGUUCCGAUACCUUGAGAAUUUAGUAAUUCUUAUUCAGGUUUUUUAUUCCUUUCAAUAUUAAUAUAUGUAUUUUGUUUGCUUAAUCCGAUUUACAUAUGUUAUAUUGAUUUAAUCCGAUUGAUUGUGUGAUCCUAACUAUAGUCACGAUUUCGUUUGCUUAAUUCGUUAUCGAGUCCGUUUAAUUCAUGUUUGCUUAAUUCAUGAAACUUAAUCCCGUUUGCUUAAUUCAGAUAAUAGGAACAUACAACUUAUACUAUCAAUUGCGCUUGUCAGUUGAUAUUAUAAUCGAAUAGGAAUAAUUAAUCUACAGUUGGAAUUACGAUAGUCGAUGAUAGGCAAAGACCGAAUCAGUAAAUUGUUGCUACAGCUUAUUUCAAUAAUCACUUAUUUUAAUCUAUUUUUUAUUUAAUUGAAUCCUAAACCAACCAAAACCCCAUUAAUCGUUACUAUCAUUGGUUAAUUCAUUCAAGAAUCCUUGUGAGAACGAUAAUCCGAGUCAAUUUGUCGUUAAACUACAUUUUUGAAAAAUUACUCUUUUUGAUCCGCGUGCGACAGCGGAGCAAAUUGGCGCCGUUGCCGGGGAUUCUUGUCGAAUUAGUCAAUAGUUUAGUUUUAAGUAUUGUGUGUUUUGUUUUUCUGCAAUUUCCUGUUAUUUUUCCGAAUUUUUCUACAGUUUCGCGUUCGGAGUUGCGUCUAGAGUCAGAAAAAACCAAUUUUUGGAAAAUUUGUGUUUGAUUGUAUAAGUUUUUUACCUACUGGAAGCAGAAAAAUCGUGCGAUCAAUACUCCUUUACUCUAAAAGAGUAAAAGACUCUGACGUCAAAUUUGCCAAAUUCCUUGUUUUUCUAUUUUUAAUUAAUUGUUUACUGUUUUCAUAGUGUCGAAAAAAUCCAAAAAAAAAUCUCAAAAUUUUCAUUUCACGUCAUUAGAUUAAGUUUGGUGCUUUUGUAUUUUUCUGAAUUUAUUUUAAUCGUUUUUCUUCUUUCUAUUUGUUUUUGUCUAUUUCGGACAUAGUUGAUAUUUCUGUGUUUUUUUUAUUACAUGGAUGAUCAAAGAACAUUAAGGCAGUUUGCUACUCCUGAUGUUAAUUAUAAUGACUUUUGUAUUGAAUAUUCUGAUGUUUCGGUUCCUUUUGAAUUGAAAUCUGGUUUAAUACAUUUGUUUCCAAGGUUUAGUGGUCUUGCAGGUGAGGAUCCACAUGAGCAUCUAAAGGAAUUUGAGGUUGUGUACUCUGCACCUUCUGGACCUUCACUAGAAGAUAUUGUCAAACAAAUGGCUGCAAAUAAUCUCCAGUUUUAACAACAAGUAGAUUCUACUUUAAAGACUUUGCAAACACAUAUUGGGCAGCUUGCCACUUUGGUGAAUGCCAUGCAGCAAGCUCAAGGAUCAAACCAACAACCCUUAGAAGAACAUUCUGUUUUGCAAAUAGAUUUGAUUUCUGAAAUUGUUGAUGAUACUUGUGGUGAUUUGUUUGCAUCUGAUUUUCCAUCAUUGUCUGGUUUUGAUGAUGUUUAUUCUUGUGAUAUUUGUACUGAAACUAAAAUUUGCUCUGUUUGUGCUGAAAUUGAGGCUGCCUUGCAAGUUGAUAUUCUUACUGCAGAUGAGGUUGCAAAUAAAGUUGUUCAUGUAGAUAAAGCUCUUGACAUCCCGGUUGCCCCAAACACUCCUUCUAUUGAGCAACCACCUUCCCUCGAGCUGAAGCAACUUCCUGAAAAUAUGAAAUAUGCUUAUUUAGAGAUGAAUGAAAAACUACCGGCUAUAAUUUCUUCUAACCUUAAUUUCGAUCAAGAAAAUAAGCUUUUGCAGGUUUUAAGGAAGCAUAAAAAGGCAUUUGGUUGGACAUUGGCUGACAUUUCAGAUCAGAUCACCUUCACGUGUCCAUUUGACAAUUUUACUUUUAGAAGAUUCUUUGAUCCUGGAAUAAAAGGUGAAGAUACUAAUAAAAAUUUCAAGUUCAAUGGACAUUACCCAAAGCUAUUCCAUGACAGCCCCACUUUGGAAGAAGAAAAUGUAGAAUAUAUCUCUUUGGGAAAGCCUGCUUAUGUGGUCACCUAUCCUCCUUGACUACUCGGGUGUGUUCUUUCCUCUCUCUUCUCUCUCUUAUUUUAUGUUUGUUUCUUUCAUUGAGGACAAUGCAUAUUUUAAGUGUGGAGGAGGGAAUACUUUAUUUUCUUUGUUUUUGUUCUUUGUUUUGUUUUGUUUUUGUUUUCUUUCUAAAAAAAUUGCAUUUUUGUUGAAAGUUUUAGGCUAUAGAAUAAUUUGAGGUCGAGUUUGCGAAGACUUGGGAAAAAAUCACAAGAUCGGUAUUGUUUUAACACCAUAAGUCUCCUGCAUAUAGAAAUUGAGUUGAAUUUUUAUUAUGACAUAGCCUUAAAUUCUCAUCAUCUGACUGCUCUUGAGUAGUUUAUUUCAGCAGUCAGCACCAUCUCACACACACUCUACACAGGGAAGCCGAUGAAUAUAAGUGAGUGUUCCGAAAAAAAAAAUGCACCUUCUAAGUUUGGUAACCCUCACCCGGUCACUUAACCCAACGGUGGUGGAACCUUCAAAAAAAGUUGGAAAUAAGACUCUUUUGUAGUUGGUUCAGCGGGUUCUGGUGCUGAACUUGGUAGGGCAGAUUACGGUCCGAUCCCUCGCAACUACAAUUGAGUAAGCAAAGGGUUAUGCCACUUAAGUACCAGAACUCCAUGCAGAAAAGCAUCAGAGUCACUAACCGAUCGCCUUGCUAUGAGUGUGUGGAGAUAACAGGCUUAAUGUGAUUGCGCCUGAAUGAAAAAGAGCCAAAGAAGGAUGAGUAAGUUAGGCUUUAAUAUAAUAACAUGAUUCGAGUUGAUUUGUGUAUUCAUGAGAUUUAUGUCUGCAUAACUGUGGAUUAGUGUUCUUACAAUGUCCUUAGUGUGCAAGGUUAGUACCUAUCAAAGCAAACUUAACCGAAGAUGACUUGUAGCCUAGAAUGAGUAAUCGUUGAUGUGUCUGUGUUUUGUUUUGUUUUUCAUUUUGCUCGGAGUGCAAAAGUUCAAGUGUGGAGGAAUUUGAUCAGUGCAUUUUGAUGCAUGUUCUUCCAUGUUUGUAUUUAAGAAUUUCUUCGGUUUGCUUUGAUUAUUUUUAUGUUUUAAUGUGUUUUCAUAAUUUAUUUUAUUUUUGCACUUAUUUAAUUUUCGUAUUUAAUUUUCAGCAUUAGCAGCUUUCGCGAGAAAAAGAAUAUCUUGAGCUAGGAGUAUCGGAUUGAAACGUGCUACCAGUCGAUGGAAAGCUAAGAAAAAGAUCUAUAACUUUUGUUCAGAAGUCGAGAUCUGAAUAUUACUGUAGCAGGGCCAGAAAUUUCGUUGAAGCUGCUGCAUUAUUUUUAUAUUUUGUUUGGGUUAGUUGUAUUGGGCCCGGAUCGUACAUUUGACCCGGUUGAGUUGUGAAACGGGUUUGGGUGUUUUUACCUAGGUUAGGCAGCCAAAAACAGGGUUACGUUUUACUAUUCACGAAAUACUUGAAAGCUUUGGCAAGAAUUCUCAUGAAGAACUCAUCGAUCCAAACAAUUUGCUGUAUUCGGGUUCCGAUACCUUGAGAAUUUAGUAAUUCUUAUUCAGGUUUUUUAUUCCUUUCAAUAUUAAUAUAUGUAUUUUGUUUGCUUAAUCCGAUUUACAUAUGUUAUAUUGAUUUAAUCCGAUUGAUUGUGUGAUCCUAACUAUAGUCACGAUUUCGUUUGCUUAAUUCGUUAUCGAGUCCGUUUAAUUCAUGUUUGCUUAAUUCAUGAAACUUAAUCCCGUUUGCUUAAUUCAGAUAAUAGGAACAUACAACUUAUACUAUCAAUUGCGCUUGUCAGUUGAUAUUAUAAUCGAAUAGGAAUAAUUAAUCUACAGUUGGAAUUACGAUAGUCGAUGAUAGGCAAAGACCGAAUCAGUAAAUUGUUGCUACAGCUUAUUUCAAUAAUCACUUAUUUUAAUCUAUUUUUUAUUUAAUUGAAUCCUAAACCAACCAAAACCCCAUUAAUCGUUACUAUCAUUGGUUAAUUCAUUCAAGAAUCCUUGUGAGAACGAUAAUCCGAGUCAAUUUGUCGUUAAACUACAUUUUUGAAAAAUUACUCUUUUUGAUCCGCGUGCGACAGCGGAGCAAAUUGGCGCCGUUGCCGGGGAUUCUUGUCGAAUUAGUCAAUAGUUUAGUUUUAAGUAUUGUGUGUUUUGUUUUUCUGCAAUUUCCUGUUAUUUUUCCGAAUUUUUCUACAGUUUCGCGUUCGGAGUUGCGUCUAGAGUCAGAAAAAACCAAUUUUUGGAAAAUUUGUGUUUGAUUGUAUAAGUUUUUUACCUACUGGAAGCAGAAAAAUCGUGCGAUCAAUACUCCUUUACUCUAAAAGAGUAAAAGACUCUGACGUCAAAUUUGCCAAAUUCCUUGUUUUUCUAUUUUUAAUUAAUUGUUUACUGUUUUCAUAGUGUCGAAAAAAUCCAAAAAAAAAUCUCAAAAUUUUCAUUUCACGUCAUUAGAUUAAGUUUGGUGCUUUUGUAUUUUUCUGAAUUUAUUUUAAUCGUUUUUCUUCUUUCUAUUUGUUUUUGUCUAUUUCGGACAUAGUUGAUAUUUCUGUGUUUUUUUUAUUACAUGGAUGAUCAAAGAACAUUAAGGCAGUUUGCUACUCCUGAUGUUAAUUAUAAUGACUUUUGUAUUGAAUAUUCUGAUGUUUCGGUUCCUUUUGAAUUGAAAUCUGGUUUAAUACAUUUGUUUCCAAGGUUUAGUGGUCUUGCAGGUGAGGAUCCACAUGAGCAUCUAAAGGAAUUUGAGGUUGUGUACUCUGCACCUUCUGGACCUUCACUAGAAGAUAUUGUCAAACAAAUGGCUGCAAAUAAUCUCCAGUUUUAACAACAAGUAGAUUCUACUUUAAAGACUUUGCAAACACAUAUUGGGCAGCUUGCCACUUUGGUGAAUGCCAUGCAGCAAGCUCAAGGAUCAAACCAACAACCCUUAGAAGAACAUUCUGUUUUGCAAAUAGAUUUGAUUUCUGAAAUUGUUGAUGAUACUUGUGGUGAUUUGUUUGCAUCUGAUUUUCCAUCAUUGUCUGGUUUUGAUGAUGUUUAUUCUUGUGAUAUUUGUACUGAAACUAAAAUUUGCUCUGUUUGUGCUGAAAUUGAGGCUGCCUUGCAAGUUGAUAUUCUUACUGCAGAUGAGGUUGCAAAUAAAGUUGUUCAUGUAGAUAAAGCUCUUGACAUCCCGGUUGCCCCAAACACUCCUUCUAUUGAGCAACCACCUUCCCUCGAGCUGAAGCAACUUCCUGAAAAUAUGAAAUAUGCUUAUUUAGAGAUGAAUGAAAAACUACCGGCUAUAAUUUCUUCUAACCUUAAUUUCGAUCAAGAAAAUAAGCUUUUGCAGGUUUUAAGGAAGCAUAAAAAGGCAUUUGGUUGGACAUUGGCUGACAUUUCAGAUCAGAUCACCUUCACGUGUCCAUUUGACAAUUUUACUUUUAGAAGAUUCUUUGAUCCUGGAAUAAAAGGUGAAGAUACUAAUAAAAAUUUCAAGUUCAAUGGACAUUACCCAAAGCUAUUCCAUGACAGCCCCACUUUGGAAGAAGAAAAUGUAGAAUAUAUCUCUUUGGGAAAGCCUGCUUAUGUGGUCACCUAUCCUCCUUGACUACUCGGGUGUGUUCUUUCCUCUCUCUUCUCUCUCUUAUUUUAUGUUUGUUUCUUUCAUUGAGGACAAUGCAUAUUUUAAGUGUGGGGGAGGGAAUACUUUAUUUUCUUUGUUUUGUUUUGUUUUUGUUUUCUUUCUAAUUUUUUUUUUGCAUUUUUGUUGAAAGUUUUAGGCUAUAGAAUAAUUUGAGGUCGAGUUUGCGGAGACUUUGGAAAAAUUCACAAGAUCGGUAUUGUUUUAACACCGUAAGUCUCCUGCAUGUGGAAAUUGAGUUGAAUUUUUAUUAUGUUUUAGCCUUACAUUCUCAUCCUC
This 7300-nucleotide long non-coding RNA is filed under the name Lathyrus oleraceus (garden pea). RNAcentral's name for it is "Pisum sativum (pea) long non-coding RNA (PSAT_LNC010676)". The record is from RNAcentral. Lineage: Eukaryota; Viridiplantae; Streptophyta; Magnoliopsida; Fabales; Fabaceae.